RNAcentral lists this ribosomal RNA (28 nucleotides) under Pratylenchus goodeyi. RNAcentral's name for it is "partial 18S ribosomal RNA". The record is from RNAcentral. Lineage: Eukaryota; Metazoa; Nematoda; Chromadorea; Rhabditida; Pratylenchidae.
GUAGGUGGAACCUGCGGCUGGAUCAUUA